This 364-nucleotide long non-coding RNA is filed under the name Helianthus annuus (common sunflower). RNAcentral's name for it is "sRNA HanXRQr2_Chr09g0369181". The record is from RNAcentral. Lineage: Eukaryota; Viridiplantae; Streptophyta; Magnoliopsida; Asterales; Asteraceae.
UUGGUUUAGAACGGACGAUGGGCUUUAGAUUCACUCAAACAAUACUCAAAUCGUUAAGAGAAGAUUAGGAGAGCAUCGUCCAUAUAUGGAGUCCGUCUGCGAGGAUUCUGAUGAUAUUUUAGCAGGGGUUUUAAAUACGUUUUGAUGACAUCUCUUAAAGGUACUAUUUUUAGGAGGAGAGAAAUUGGAGAAUCAAGGGUCAACAGCUCUAUCAAGUACUAUUCUUACCUAUUUGUUUCUUCUAAUUUUUGAUCCAGCAUCCGGAAAAUAUGAAAUGAUAUGUUUAUUUGUUAAUUUCGGUAUUUGAUGUCAUGUCUUCUAGGUGUUUGAUGAAAUGCUAGAUAUGUUAGAAGUAAGCGUUUGU